Molecule: non-coding RNA, 1038 nt
Organism: Misgurnus anguillicaudatus (oriental weatherfish)
Lineage: Eukaryota; Metazoa; Chordata; Actinopteri; Cypriniformes; Cobitidae
Source: RefSeq, a predicted model, not a curated record
GCUUCUCAUUGCAACAUUACCUGACGCGGGAGUUAUUACCUCAGGAUUCAUGAACGGUUUUUCAUCGACUUAUCUUUGAUUUAUUUGAAGGAAAAGACCCUGAUGGAUAAAAGAUGGAUAUUUUUUCCUGGAGAAGCUAAAACAAUGUCACUUUGAGGUUCUGAUACCAGCUUUUACAAUGUUAUUUACAGAGUUCACAAGACUUCUCUGUGUUAUUCCUUGACCAUGCCGAAAAGCUAUUUGAAACUUGGGCAUUGCAUUUUACAGACAGAAUCCUGCAACUUCCCAGCCAAGAACCAGGAGCAUCAACAAAUCACCUCCAGAACCCCAUGAUGAUAUUCCAACUCCUGUCUACAAAAGUGGGAAGAAAAUCUUAAGUCUAUGUUGGGACCAACAUGGUUGCAUUCUUCUGAGAGGCUGAGGUGACAAAACCAUUCCCAUUUGUCCCUGGAUUGGAAGAUGGCGAUCUCUGCAAUCAAGCCUUCGUUGUUUUUGACAGACAGUCACUCCAGCAAUACACCCUCCUUGGUGAUGUUGACAUGUUUUAAACUUUUUUUAUGUUUUGGACAUUAAUUUUACUAAGCAGUGCACAUCAGUGUGGGUGUUUUUGAAGACUGUUGUUUACAAACUCCCAAGAACGGAAUCCCUUUCUAUAAGAAGUCUGUGUAGUUAUUUGUCAUGCUAAGGUGAUAACUCAUGUUGAUCAUAUAUUGACUGUUUGUGCAACUUUGUGUUGAUCUUAUGUGUUACAUUAACCAUUUCUUAUUACACGGUUCUCUAAAAUGCUAGAUUCUGAUUGGCCAGUCGUGACAUUCUACUACUGCUCAAAACUAAAAACUCCAAUGCUGCAAAUCAUUUUGACAGGUACAGUUUUAUAUUACACAAAAAUUAAAUAUCAAUGUCUAUUAAUUACAUAUCCGACAUUAAAUUUACAAAUGAUUAAAUCAAUGUGUUUGUGACAUUUGUCCUGAUGAAACUGUUGGGGCUUUUUUCUGUGAUGACAUGCUGCCAAUACAUUAUCCCUUACUUGUACAACUU